This is a non-coding RNA of Physcomitrium patens, 1486 nucleotides long. The record is from RefSeq and is a predicted model, not a curated record. Lineage: Eukaryota; Viridiplantae; Streptophyta; Bryopsida; Funariales; Funariaceae.
UCAUGUUGCCGAUUGGUUCUUUGAUAGAGGCUUGGGUUAAGAGUAUGUGCGCAAUGUGAGUCGUCAGGACAAGGAGGAGCUGUCUAUUGUUCUUGUCGAGAGACGGUCUUUUUUUCCUGUUUGUUCGAUUGUGAUUUUGCGUUGGUGGAAGCAGUAGUGUCUUUGUAAAUGAGUGGUUGGACUCCUAGCCGAAUUCUGCAAGCCUCAAAGUUUAAAUGCCUUGGUUAAUAUAUCAGCAUGUUGCUCUGUUGAUGAUAUGUGUAUUACCUCAAUUUCUCCUAUUUCCCAUUUCUAGAGAAGUGAUAGUGCAUUUCGAAAUGUUUAGUUCGAUCAUGGAACACAAGAUUUUGAACAAGUUUAAUGCUGCUUUGGUUGUCAACGUGAAGUGGAGUAGAAAGAUUGCGAAUUACUCCCAGUUCUGUGAGUAGCUGCCGUAGCCAGAUUUGAUGUCGUAACCAACAAGAGCACAUCAGUGUGCAUGUGCGGUGAGCUUGGUGCAGUCAGUAGCGGGAAUGUGGAUGUAGAUGACACACCCGAUGGUGGGUAGAUAGGUGAGAUCAGGCUUCUUUUCGAAAAGGAGUUCAUGAGGAGAAGAAAGGGGAGUAGACUUACUAGGGAUCCGAUCUUGGACGUAGCAGGCAGUGUGAAGUAAUUCUCUAUAAAAAUUCUGGUAGGUGGCUGGAGAGGGAGAGGGUGCGGCUCAUUUCUAGGAGGGCCAAUUACGCCUCUUCGCCACCCCAUUGUAUUGUGGAGUGCCGGCUUGGGUGAGCUGCCGUGUUAUCUCAUGAUGUUGACAGAAGCGAUUGAAGGGGAGGGAAGUAAAUUCACCUCCGCGAUCGGAGCAGAGGCAUGAGAUAUAGAGGCCGAGCUGUUUUUCAACGGUGUUUUUAAAGCUUGAAAAAAUAUUGAAAGUUUCUGAUUUCUACUUGAGAAGGAGGUGGUUCUUCUUCGACGUAAUGCCACAGGCCCUCCCUCUUCAAGACCUGCUCUAUAAUAAAGCUCCAGACGCUAUAGUUUUCCUCUCUUGUGAGUCAACACUCAACAGGGAUAAGAUUGGCAUCGCUGGCCAUGGUGCGAUGAAAGGAUGAGUGAGGGUAGACUGUCACCUAUGGUGGAUCUUGCGAUGUCGACUCGGGUGGUGGAGUGAUUGUGGUGGUGAUGGAUGAGGCUGGCUCUAAGCCUUCUGAGUCCGAGCUCAUGCCGAGAGAUGCUCGGAGAGGCAGAGGCCCAGAGGAAAUAGCUCUAAUACCAUGUCAAAAUGAUAUUGUAUUGAUUCAGUGACACCAGAAGCUCUCGAUGUUACCAUGUGGAAUCUCAUACCCAGAUGAUUGGUGCUCCGAGGUGUCUCAUGUAAACAUGAGAUUCUUCCUCCUUUGCCUCACUCUUGAUCAGAAACAGAAGCUGAUCACAUGAGAACCAAUGAUACUAAUCACUUCACAAAGAGGCACCAUUUCCAUUCAUGAAUAUAUCAUUACUUUUUUUUUAA